GGGGUUGUACAGGUUUCGACAGGGAUUUAGAGAUUCCGGCAGCUAUCCGUGGACCCGAGACCACGUUAAAACUUGGAAAAAAAUAAACGCUGAAGAUAAUUUAGCACUCGCUGCCUAAUUAGGCAGCUGUCAGUUCUUUUGUAAUCCGCGGCAUUAGAAACUGGCAUCAAAUUAGCGGAGAACUUUCUUCCCAAAGCUUUGAGGGCGGGAAAGAAUUUAUGAAGCUACUGAAAUAGUAAGCCUGUCUUUUGGCGCACUACGUAGGGAAUCUUAAAUAAAAGACUGUGAUAGGAGACACCUGAAUUAAAGAGUCUUUGGACGCGGGUUCGAUUCCCGCCAGCUCCACU
This 347-nucleotide small RNA is filed under the name uncultured Eubacterium sp. Its description in RNAcentral is "transfer-messenger RNA". It matches the Rfam family "transfer-messenger RNA". Rfam says of the family: Bacterial tmRNA, also known as 10Sa RNA or SsrA, is named for its dual tRNA and mRNA-like properties. Its role is to liberate the mRNA from a stalled ribosome. To accomplish this part of the tmRNA is used as a reading frame that ends in a translation stop signal. The record is from RNAcentral. Lineage: Bacteria; Bacillati; Bacillota; Clostridia; Eubacteriales; Eubacteriaceae.